CUUCGACCAAGGUUCGAUUCGAGCGCAGCGAGAAAGCGUUGCCGCAGGCAACGACCCGAAGGGCGAAGCGCGCAGCGCUGAGUCAUCCUUCCCCCACCACCA
RNAcentral lists this small RNA (102 nucleotides) under Salmonella enterica subsp. enterica serovar Heidelberg. Its description in RNAcentral is "partial RtT sRNA". It matches the Rfam family "RtT RNA", at positions 30 to 130 of the family's 130-position model. From Rfam's summary of the family: This family represents a bacterial cis-regulatory element known as RtT RNA. The exact function of RtT is unknown although it is thought that it may be involved in changing the cellular response in relation to amino acid starvation. The record is from RNAcentral. RNAcentral also lists the same sequence under 6 other names. Lineage: Bacteria; Pseudomonadati; Pseudomonadota; Gammaproteobacteria; Enterobacterales; Enterobacteriaceae.